GCCUGCCUAGCUCAAUCGGAUAGAGCGUCAGACUCUUAUGCAGGUUGGCUAGCUAUAUAUCUUGAUCUGAAGGCUGCGAGUUCGACCCUCGCGGUGGGCU
Armillaria nabsnona is the source of this 100-nucleotide non-coding RNA. Lineage: Eukaryota; Fungi; Basidiomycota; Agaricomycetes; Agaricales; Physalacriaceae. The record is from the annotation of a GenBank genome assembly.